RNAcentral lists this ribosomal RNA (459 nucleotides) under uncultured bacterium. RNAcentral describes it as "partial 16S ribosomal RNA". It matches the Rfam family "Bacterial small subunit ribosomal RNA", at positions 339 to 795 of the family's 1533-position model. The record is from RNAcentral.
CUACGGGUUGCAGCAGUGAGGAAUAUUGCGCAAUGGACGAAAGUCUGACGCAGCCAUGCCGCGUGCAGGAUGACGGCGCUAUGCGUUGUAAACUGCUUUUAUAGGCCAAGAAACCUUCGGACGUGUCCGAAGCUGACGGUAGCAUAUGAAUAAGCACCGGCUAACUCCGUGCCAGCAGCCGCGGUAAUACGGAGGGUGCAAGCGUUAUCCGGAUUUAUUGGGUUUAAAGGGUCCGUAGGCGGAGCAUUAAGUCAGUGGUGAAAGCCGGCAGCUCAACUGUCGAACUGCCAUUGAUACUGGUGAUCUUGAAUACGGUUGAAGUUGGCGGAAUAGGUCAUGUAGCGGUGAAAUGCUUAGAUAUGACCUAGAACACCGAUUGCGAAGGCAGCCAACUAAGCCGUUAUUGACGCUGAGGGACGAAAGCGUGGGGAGCGGACAGGAUUAGAUACCCCCGUAGUC